GUUGGUGGUGAAGAAGAACCCGGAAGUGAACCAUCCUGCCUCCGUUCGUCCAAACAGAAACGUCCGUGUUGAAUAUGCCUGGCUUCCAGGCUUCUUGGAAUCAAGGAUGAAGCAGAGCACGGAAGCUUCUCUUCCUGCCCAGGGAGGAGACACAGGAGGGUCACAGGGCCAGGCGCAGCACAGAGCACAGGGAAAAGGAGCUCCCUGAAAGGCUGAAAUGUCAGCCUGUCAACGUUUCCUGUGUGCCUGCGCACUCUCUCCUUGGUGGGACGUGGGGCCAGCGCAGCCUGCUCCGUCACACAGGAUGGAUGGCUUAAUCCCACCUGCCGCUGGGGGCACCCGGGUCGCUUCACACCAACUUCUGAGCUCCUCAAACUGGGAAUGUCACACGUGGGCAGGGGCAGCUUCCCUCUCUGAGCACAUUGGAAACAAGUUCCGGUCAUUUGCAUCAGGACUGCCUCGAGGCUUUUCAAAUUCAGACAACAUCUGGUCUCUGCAGAGAAAAAUAACUAAUUCACACUGUGACCUCCCAGAAAGAUCACCGCUUCGUCCUGAAGCACUCCCUUGCCAACAGGUGUUAAUGCCAGGUAAAAAGAGAGCCCCUGUCUAAUGGUCUCCACCUCUGGAAUGGAAAAAGCUGAGCUGGGUCAAAGGAGCAUGACUUCCAGGCAGCCCCUGGGUAGACUUCUUUCAGGAAUCGGCCUCCUUCUCCACCUCCACUUAACCUCUUUCUUUAGACCCUCGCAGAAAGGCUGGAGUCAGGCAGCAGAGGCU
This is a long non-coding RNA of Piliocolobus tephrosceles (Ugandan red Colobus), 774 nucleotides long. RefSeq lists it as uncharacterized. The record is from RefSeq and is a predicted model, not a curated record. The transcript is spliced from 3 exons. NCBI's taxonomy places the organism in Eukaryota, Metazoa, Chordata, Mammalia, Primates, Cercopithecidae.